Molecule: ribosomal RNA, 1539 nt
Filed under: Escherichia coli SMS-3-5
Lineage: Bacteria; Pseudomonadati; Pseudomonadota; Gammaproteobacteria; Enterobacterales; Enterobacteriaceae
Description: bacterial SSU rRNA
Rfam family: Bacterial small subunit ribosomal RNA
Source: RNAcentral
AAAUUGAAGAGUUUGAUCAUGGCUCAGAUUGAACGCUGGCGGCAGGCCUAACACAUGCAAGUCGAACGGUAACAGGAAGAAGCUUGCUUCUUUGCUGACGAGUGGCGGACGGGUGAGUAAUGUCUGGGAAACUGCCUGAUGGAGGGGGAUAACUACUGGAAACGGUAGCUAAUACCGCAUAAUGUCGCAAGACCAAAGAGGGGGACCUUCGGGCCUCUUGCCAUCGGAUGUGCCCAGAUGGGAUUAGCUAGUAGGUGGGGUAACGGCUCACCUAGGCGACGAUCCCUAGCUGGUCUGAGAGGAUGACCAGCCACACUGGAACUGAGACACGGUCCAGACUCCUACGGGAGGCAGCAGUGGGGAAUAUUGCACAAUGGGCGCAAGCCUGAUGCAGCCAUGCCGCGUGUAUGAAGAAGGCCUUCGGGUUGUAAAGUACUUUCAGCGGGGAGGAAGGGAGUAAAGUUAAUACCUUUGCUCAUUGACGUUACCCGCAGAAGAAGCACCGGCUAACUCCGUGCCAGCAGCCGCGGUAAUACGGAGGGUGCAAGCGUUAAUCGGAAUUACUGGGCGUAAAGCGCACGCAGGCGGUUGUAAUCAGAUGUGAAAUCCCCGGGCUCAACCUGGGAACUGCAUCUGAUACUGGCAAGCUUGAGUCUCGUAGAGGGGGGUAGAAUUCCAGGUGUAGCGGUGAAAUGCGUAGAGAUCUGGAGGAAUACCGGUGGCGAAGGCGGCCCCCUGGACGAAGACUGACGCUCAGGUGCGAAAGCGUGGGGAGCAAACAGGAUUAGAUACCCUGGUAGUCCACGCCGUAAACGAUGUCGACUUGGAGGUUGUGCCCUUGAGGCGUGGCUUCCGGAGCUAACGCGUUAAGUCGACCGCCUGGGGAGUACGGCCGCAAGGUUAAAACUCAAAUGAAUUGACGGGGGCCCGCACAAGCGGUGGAGCAUGUGGUUUAAUUCGAUGCAACGCGAAGAACCUUACCUGGUCUUGACAUCCACAGAACUUUCCAGAGAUGGAUUGGUGCCUUCGGGAACUGUGAGACAGGUGCUGCAUGGCUGUCGUCAGCUCGUGUUGUGAAAUGUUGGGUUAAGUCCCGCAACGAGCGCAACCCUUAUCCUUUGUUGCCAGCGGUCCGGCCGGGAACUCAAAGGAGACUGCCAGUGAUAAACUGGAGGAAGGUGGGGAUGACGUCAAGUCAUCAUGGCCCUUACGACCAGGGCUACACACGUGCUACAAUGGCGCAUACAAAGAGAAGCGACCUCGCGAGAGCAAGCGGACCUCAUAAAGUGCGUCGUAGUCCGGAUUGGAGUCUGCAACUCGACUCCAUGAAGUCGGAAUCGCUAGUAAUCGUGGAUCAGAAUGCCACGGUGAAUACGUUCCCGGGCCUUGUACACACCGCCCGUCACACCAUGGGAGUGGGUUGCAAAAGAAGUAGGUAGCUUAACCUUCGGGAGGGCGCUUACCACUUUGUGAUUCAUGACUGGGGUGAAGUCGUAACAAGGUAACCGUAGGGGAACCUGCGGUUGGAUCACCUCCUUA